AAGCCUAUUAAAGAUCAGCUUGGAUCAAGCUUUCAUUCGCAUCUGCCUGAACUCCACAUGUUUCAGACCCAAGGGAAAAUUGGUAAUCAAGUGGAGAAGUCUAUCAAUGAUGCUUCCUCAGCUUCAACAUCCCAAAUAAUUUGUAGGCUCAAAACCCAUAUUUCUAUUAAGUAUGGGAAGAAUUUCCUCUAUUCUUCAUUAUUCACACAAAUACAAGAAGUACACAUGAGGGAAAAACCUUUCCAAUGUAAUGAGUGUGGCAAAGCCUUUAAUCAUAGCUCAUGUUUAAGGAGACAUCACGUAACCCAUUCAGGAGAGAAACAGUAUAAAUGUGAUGUAUGUGGCAAAGUCUUUCAUCAGAAGCAAUACCUUGCAUGGCACCAUAGUGUUCAUACUGGAGAAAAACCUUACAAGUGUAAUGAGUGUUCCAAGACCUUCAAUCAGAAAUCACAACUUGAAACACACAGGAGAAUUCAUACUGGAGAAAAACCAUACAAACGUAACGAAUGUGGCAAGGCUUUUAGUAGAAAAGCAAACCUUGCACAUCAUGGACUUCAUACUGGAGGGAAAUCUUACAAAUGUAAGGGUUGUGACAAGGUUUUCCACCAUGAUUUAUGCCUUGCACAACAUCAGAGAGUUCAUACUGGAGAGAACCUUACACAUUUCACGAGUAUGGAAAGACCUUUGCUCAAAAUUCAGCCCUUGUAAUGCAUAAGGCAAUUCAUACUGGAAAGAAACCUUACACAUGUAAUGAAUGUGGCAAGGUUUCUAAUCAACAAUCAAACCUUGCACAACAUCAGAGAGUUUAUACUGGAGAGAAACCUUACAAGUGUAAUGAGUGGGGCAAAGCCUUAAGUGGGAAGUCGUCACUUUUUUAUCAUCAAGCAAUCCAUGGUGUAGGGAAACUUUGCAAAUGUAAUGAUUGUCACAAAGUCUUCAGUAAUGCUACAACCAUUGCAAAUCACUGGAGAAUCCAUAAUGAAGACAGAUCUUACAAGUGUAAUAAAUGUGGUAAAAUUUUCAGACAUCGAUCAUAUCUUGCAGUUUAUCAGCGAACUCAUACUGGAGAGAAACCUUACAAAUAUCAUGACUGUGGCAAGGUCUUCAGUCAAGCUUCAUCCUAUGCAAAACAUAGGAGAAUUCAUACAGGAGAGAAACCUCACAAGUGUGAUGAUUGUGGCAAAGUCUUGACUUCACGUUCACACCUCAUUAGACAUCAGAGAAUCCAUACUGGACAGAAAUCUUACAAAUGUCUUAAGUGUGGCAAGGUCUUCAGUCUGUGGGCACUCCAUGCAGAACAUCAGAAAAUUCAU
Molecule: long non-coding RNA, 1313 nt
Filed under: Homo sapiens (human)
Lineage: Eukaryota; Metazoa; Chordata; Mammalia; Primates; Hominidae
Description: non-protein coding lnc-ZNF701-1:3
Source: RNAcentral